GGGGCGCGCGUGGCUCCAGGGCAGUGCGCGAGUUCUCGCGAGACUUCGGCGGCACCUGCGGAAGCGGAAGCGGGUCCCGUUCCUUUUUCCGGGCGUCCGUCGCGGCGGCAGCAGCGGGCCAAAAUGAAGUUCAAUCCAUUUGUGACAUCAGACCGAAGCAAGAACCGCAAACGACACUUCAAUGCACCUUCUCACAUUCGAAGAAAAAUAAUGUCCUCCCCACUCUCUAAGGAGUUGCGACAGAAAUACAAUGUCCGCUCUAUGCCCAUUCGAAAGGAUGAUGAAGUCCAGGUUGUUCGGGGUCACUACAAAGGACAGCAGAUCGGCAAGGUGGUCCAGGUGUACAGGAAAAAGUAUGUGAUCUACAUUGAACGUGUUCAACGUGAGAAGGCGAAUGGCACAACUGUCCACGUGGGGAUCCAUCCCAGCAAGGUGGUGAUCACUAGGCUAAAACUGGACAAAGAUCGCAAAAAGAUCCUGGAGCGUAAAGCCAAGUCUCGCCAGGUUGGCAAGGAGAAGGGCAAGUACAAAGAAGAAACAAUCGAAAAGAUGCAAGAAUAGAUGGUUUUCUACUUGAUACCAUUAAAUAACUGCUAAAAAGAAACCUAUUGUUAUGUCUUCUCCUUUGGAAAGUCUUGAUGUGGCGUGUCAGGUACCAACUGUCUUUUCCUGUAGUUGUUUGUCUAAAUUCGGAGAGAUUUUCCUCGAGUUCUAUUUAGCUCUGAUAUUUACUGCCUUGGUUUCAAGCCUGAAGUGGUUUUUGUGCUGGGAAACUUGCCUGUCCUCAGAAAUGCCUUGGAAAUGUGUCUUCCAGUGUUAUCAACACAAUGCUGGUGACAUGUGCUGUUUGCUGCUACCUAUUUUGGCUGAUCGCGAUUCUUGCUCAACUCAACCCUCUCUUUGGGCCGCAGUUAAGCAAUGAAACAAUCUGGUACCUUAAAUUUCACUGGCCUUAAGGAUGUCUGUCCUCUGCUGCAAUUUAUUGACUAGGU
This is an RNA transcript of Cuculus canorus (common cuckoo), 992 nucleotides long. It is a transcript of the gene named ribosomal protein L26 like 1, with no coding region annotated. Lineage: Eukaryota; Metazoa; Chordata; Aves; Cuculiformes; Cuculidae. The transcript is spliced from 7 exons. The record is from RefSeq and is a predicted model, not a curated record.